RNAcentral lists this unclassified non-coding RNA (2940 nucleotides) under Amphimedon queenslandica. RNAcentral's name for it is "calcium homeostasis endoplasmic reticulum protein- like, transcript variant X2". The record is from RNAcentral. Lineage: Eukaryota; Metazoa; Porifera; Demospongiae; Haplosclerida; Niphatidae.
CCCACCCACAAAACACGUGAAGUCAAAAUGGCGGAUAAUCCUCCAGCUCCUCCAGAAGAUGCUGAGACAAAAAAUAUUAUUGAUAAACUGGCAAAUUUUGUUGCUCGGAAUGGCCCAGAGUUUGAGGCCAUGACGAAAAAGAAACAACAAAGCAACCCAAAGUUCAGUUUUCUUUAUGGAGGAGACCAUCACUCCUACUACCUCUGGAAAGUGAAAGCAGAGAGGGAAGGUGGAUCACGUGAUCAACACGUGACUCCAUCGGAGACUAGCGCAACGAGUUUUCAUCCUUCUUCUCAAAAUAUUGAAUCGAUGCUUGAGUCAUUACAUCAAACAAAGUUAAAGGAGCAGGUGGACAUUGCGGUCAUCACAGAUCCACUGGAAAGAGAAUUCCAAUCAGUCAUUAGCCCAGUCAUGAAUUCCUGUACCAAUGAAUCAAUGGCCAGCAGUAAAGGUUGGGUCUGUAGCCAUUCAAAGACUGAGGAAGAUUGUGGAAAGAUGGCACAUUUUAUAAUGAGAAGAACGUUGGAUUCUCCUAAUAUUGAAUUCUCUCAUAAACUUCAUGUCAUUUACCUCAUUAAUGACAUACUAUAUCACUGUUUCAGAAAAGAUGCUCAUGACUUAAAACAAGCUCUAGAAACGGUUGUUGUUCAAAUAUUUUAUAAUGUUUUUUCGUCUGAUCCCAGCAGGAGUGACCCUCUCAUUAAGGUUCUGAAUAUAUGGGAGAGUCAGAAAUAUUUGAGCGAAGGAAAAAUUUCGAUAAUUAAAGAUUUAUUGAAGCUACCUGAGUCUUCAUUACCUAAAGCUCCACCUAUUGCUCUGCCCCCUAUUGUAAAUGAGGGUGUGGCUGCCCCUCCUCCUCCGUGGAUGCAGCAGUCAAUGAACCAAGCUCCACCUCCAAUUCCACAUCCUGGUCCAGCUCCAUGGCAACAAGCUCCACCUCCUCCAGCUCCGCCUUCUUGGGAUCACCCUCCUCCUCCUCCAAAUUAUCUUCCUCCUUCUCGUCCUCCCUGGGGACCUCCCCCUCCCUCUCAUUGGUCCCACCCACACAUUCCCCCUCCUAACGAACCGACGCCUUUAUUUGAAACUCCGCCCAUUCCCCCACCCCCACCUCCUGAUAAUCAAUUUAUUGAAAGUAUUGAUUAUAAUCAUCAAAAAUUAUCGGAGCCACACCCACUUGAUCCCGCUUUUACCGGCAAACCGUCUCCAUCCAAAGAUCCUCCUUUUAUGCCACGCCCUCCGGAGCAUGGAUUGGAACCACACCCACCUCCUUUUCAAGGCGUGCAAGUAUUUGAUUACAAUCAUCAGCCGCCUCCCACUUCUUGGGAUAACAUGCCACACCCCUCUCACCCCAUGCCUCCUCAGGGACCACGCCCAUUUCCCUUUCCUCCUGAUCGGUCUUUCAUGCCAAGACCGCCUCCCCCUAUGCCACAGGGUCCCCGCCCACCUCAUUUACCAUAUUUUGAUUUACCAGCUGGUCUUAUGAUACCACUAGUACCGCUUCACGAGAGUUCUUACCGCCCACUCAACCCACUGCAUGUUGUUCUUCCUCCUCCUAUUCCUCCGACCGAAAGACUCAUUAAAGCAGUGGAGGAGUUUUACCAACCACCGACUGAAGAGAAGACAAGAAACCAAGAUGGUUGGGAGGCUAAGGCUUUGCUUGACUUUUACGAUGCAAAGAUGAAAGCUAAAGACAUUUUGAAGAACAAAGGAGGAGGAGGAGGAGGAAAUACCAGACGGAACGUGCCGCCAAGAAGAAGAUCCCCAUCUCCAAGGAGAAGAAGGAGAAGAUCUUCUUCAUUGUCACCUUCACCUCCUCCUCGAUCAAGAAGGAGGUCGUCACGUUCUCCGUCAAGCGACUCAAGUUCCUCGUCCAGUCGUUCACCGUCACCUCAUCGGAGGAGGAGAAGGCGUGGCAGAGGAAGUAGGCGGAGCUACUCUCGAUCCCCCUCCCCCAAAACUCCAACAAUUGAAGAAUCUUCUCGAAGAAAACCACCACCACAACAACCUUCAGCUCCUAUAACAACCGGAAGUCAAGAACUAGGCCAAUUGACGGAAGGUAACGUUGGACAUCAGAUGCUAAAGAGAAUGGGUUGGGAGGGGGCGGGGCUUGGUUCCAAAGAGCAAGGGAUUCAAGCUCCUAUAAAAGGCGGUGAAGUUAGGAAUAAAGCUGAGCAGUUUGCUGGAGUUGGCAUGGCACAGAAUAAUGAUCCGUUUGAACAAUUUAGACGCUCUAAAAGUUAUACUUAUAACAGACGUCCUCCAUCAGGACCUCCCUAAGUUCCAAGGGGUCGCAUAUUCCCAGAACCAAAAAGAAGAAAAUGAUGUUCUCUUUGGAGAUUAAAAUUAUUAAUUUUAUUCAUGUACUAUAAUGAUAAUGAUGAUAAUACAGUAAUUAAUUAAAUUAAUUAUUCAUUGUCCAAGGAUGGGCUGAGGUGCUAAUUUUGCAUGCUGCAGCAUAGAUACAGCUUCUUCUCUGUUGCUAAGAUAUUUUCCAGAGGAAAGACGCGUCAUUCCUAACAUUUCUACGGCUUAGAGGCGGUAAGGACAGACACCCUGGGGUCUAUUUUUAGCAGCUUUGGAGAUCUGUGUGCUCCUUUUAAAAAUCAAUUUAGAAGUACUAUUUUGAAAAGAAAAAGAGGUGGUGACCCCAUCAUGAAGAUAUUUGAUAAUUUCACUCAAACUUUGAACCAGUAUCCUUUCCUAUGGAUACUCUAUCCUAUCCUGAUACUUCUUCCUGUAGUACUUCUAGUAUCGUACUGUGUCAAGAUUGACAGAAAGGUAAUUAAAGACAGAUAACCUUUUGUAACUUGAGAUAACAAAGCAUGUACAUCACUUUUGAGCUGCAAUUGCAAUUCAAAAAUAGCAAGUGUUAUCUUAUGCUGCUAGCUUUAUUUGAAAUUUAAAUUUUAAAAAGUAUCCUAUAAUAUUUGAAUUUUGUAA